This 898-nucleotide unclassified non-coding RNA is filed under the name Hevea brasiliensis (rubber tree). The record is from RNAcentral. Lineage: Eukaryota; Viridiplantae; Streptophyta; Magnoliopsida; Malpighiales; Euphorbiaceae.
GCCAUCUGCAACCUCCAUACUUUAUAUGUUGAAACCUGAGCAAUGUUCAUAAUUCGUGCAUCAUCUUCAAUCCAAGCCUAACGUUGCAGCUAAUUUUUUUUUGGUAAGCCUACCUCAUCCUUAGAUUGGAUUCUUGAUUUAGGAGCAUCAGAACACAUGAUCUCAGACAAUACUAAGUUAGAUAAUUUUCAGCAGCAAACCACACCUUUUCUAGUACAACUACCUGAUGGUUCUCAAUUUUCUGUAUUGCAAAGAGGACAAAACACCCUCCCAUCCAAUAAUCAUCUUUCAAAUGUGUUAUAUGUUCUUUCUUUCUGUAGCAACCAGAUUUCAAUUGGUAAAUUAACACGCAACUGCAUUUUGCAUCCAUUUUCUUACCAACCUUUUGUGUUUUGCAGAAGCUUAUUACAAGAACAGUGAUUGACCUGGUGAGCAACAUGAUCAUAUUUACUAGUUCAAAAGUCUAGAAAUUCCUGUUACUCUUUCUAGUGUGAAGUCAAGUGACCCUAUUCUCUGACACCAAAAGCUAAGACAUGUUUCACUUGAUCAUUUUUCUCAUGUUCAAACUUACCCAAAAAAUUUUUCAGCCAAGUUUGUGAUGAUUGUCAUAAAACAAAACAAACUGGACUUCCUUUUCCAAUCAGUAAUCAUCGAACAAAGGUUCCUUUCCAUUUAAUUUCAUUGUGACAUUUACAGAAGUCCACAUUACUCAAAUUUUGUGAAUUUCGAUGGCUGUUCAAAUUGCCUAAAAUAAUGUUCAGAUUUUCUUUGGCGAAAUUUUGAUUGUGGUUCAACUUCUUAGGGUAUAUUUUCCUUCGGCAUGUUUCAUCUUUACCGAAAAAUUAUGUUUUCUUUUUAAAUAAUAUUUUAUUUUUUUCGUGGGUCCCACAUAAUUUAG